This 84-nucleotide transfer RNA is filed under the name Eubacterium sp. Its description in RNAcentral is "tRNA-Leu". It matches the Rfam family "tRNA". From Rfam's summary of the family: Transfer RNA (tRNA) molecules are approximately 80 nucleotides in length. Their secondary structure includes four short double-helical elements and three loops (D, anti-codon, and T loops). RNAcentral also lists the same sequence under 2 other names. The record is from RNAcentral. Lineage: Bacteria; Bacillati; Bacillota; Clostridia; Eubacteriales; Eubacteriaceae.
GCGGGUGUGGCGGAAUUGGCAGACGCGCCAGAUUUAGGUUCUGGUGGCUUCACCGUGCAGGUUCAAGUCCUGUCACCCGCACCA